UAGAUACUCCCUCCGUCCGGAAAAGCUUGCCCCAAGCUUAUUGCUCAAAUGGAUGUAUCUAGCACUAACUUAAUGCUAGAUACAUUCAUUCGAGGGACAAGCUUUUUCGAACGAAGGGAGUAGAUG
Non-coding RNA from Triticum aestivum (bread wheat), 126 nucleotides. Lineage: Eukaryota; Viridiplantae; Streptophyta; Magnoliopsida; Poales; Poaceae. The record is from Rfam.